AUGCUGAAUGAGCCAGCCCCAUAUUCUCACCAAACACCCCAACAAACUGCGUACUUUGAAGAAAAUCAAAUACGAUCGAGCCCCCAACAAACUUUAACUACCGCUAACAGACAGGUACUGCAACGUAUACACCAAAUUAUACAACGUACCAGAUGUUUGUCUCCGUCCUCGCUCGCCUACCAACCAUUACCAAUGCAGCAGUACAAACAAAGUCAAACAAUCCUUCCCUCCAUCGGCCUCGCCUACUCUCUCCCUUUCUCUUCUGUCUUCUCCCCCGACCCAACCACCAUGACAGCAAACCAUCACCGCCACAUGACCCAAACGCCCCCGCCACAAAAGCCUCUGCUAAUGAUAUCAGCAGCCAAUAUCUCUCUAUCUUGA
This 381-nucleotide ribosomal RNA is filed under the name Triticum aestivum (bread wheat). RNAcentral's name for it is "partial small subunit ribosomal RNA". The record is from RNAcentral. Lineage: Eukaryota; Viridiplantae; Streptophyta; Magnoliopsida; Poales; Poaceae.